Molecule: ribosomal RNA, 253 nt
Filed under: uncultured bacterium
Lineage: Bacteria
Description: partial 16S ribosomal RNA
Rfam family: Bacterial small subunit ribosomal RNA
Source: RNAcentral
UACGGAGGGGGCUAGCGUUGUUCGGAAUUACUGGGCGUAAAGCGCACGUAGGCGGCUUUGUAAGUUAGAGGUGAAAGCCCGGGGCUCAACUCCGGAACUGCCUUUGAAACUAGGUAACUAGAAUCUUGGAGAGGUCAGUGGAAUUCCGAGUGUAGAGGUGAAAUUCGUAGAUAUUCGGAAGAACACCAGUGGCGAAGGCGACUGACUGGACAAGUAUUGACGCUGAGGUGCGAAAGCGUGGGGAGCAAACAGG